GUCUUACUGGGCGCAGUGGUUUGAGUGUUGGACUAUUUCUCUGGAGACCAGGGUUCGAUUCCCCGCUUGGCCA
This is a non-coding RNA of Phrynosoma platyrhinos (Desert horned lizard), 73 nucleotides long. Lineage: Eukaryota; Metazoa; Chordata; Lepidosauria; Squamata; Phrynosomatidae. The record is from the annotation of a GenBank genome assembly.